This 223-nucleotide ribosomal RNA is filed under the name uncultured bacterium. RNAcentral describes it as "partial 16S ribosomal RNA". It matches the Rfam family "Bacterial small subunit ribosomal RNA", at positions 15 to 228 of the family's 1533-position model. The record is from RNAcentral.
GAUCCUGGCUCAGGAUGAACGCUGGCGGCGUGCCUAAUACAUGCAAGUAGAACGCUGAAGCUUGGUGCUUGCACCGAGCGGAUGAGUUGCGAACGGGUGAGUAACGCGUAGGUAACCUGCCUCUUAGCGGGGGAUAACUAUUGGAAACGAUAGCUAAUACCGCAUAAAAGUCGAUAUCGCAUGAUGUUGACUUGAAAGGUGCAAUUGUAUCACUAAGAGAUGG